ACGUAGGUGGCAAGCGUUGUCCGGAUUUAUUGGGCGUAAAGCGAGCGCAGGCGGUCUCUUAAGUCUGAUGUGAAAGCCCCCGGCUCAACCGGGGAGGGUCAUUGGAAACUGGGAGACUUGAGUGCAGAAGAGGAGAGUGGAAUUCCAUGUGUAGCGGUGAAAUGCGUAGAUAUAUGGAGGAACACCAGUGGCGAAGGCGGCUCUCUGGUCUGUAACUGACGCUGAGGCUCGAAAGCGUGGGGAGCAAACAG
Molecule: ribosomal RNA, 251 nt
Filed under: uncultured bacterium
Lineage: Bacteria
Description: partial 16S ribosomal RNA
Rfam family: Bacterial small subunit ribosomal RNA
Source: RNAcentral